GAUGAAGAACGUAGCGAAAUGCGAUAAGUAAUGUGAAUUGCAGAAUUCAGUGAAUCAUCGAAUCUUUGAACGCACAUUGCGCCCCUUGGUAUUCCGAGGGGCAUGCCUGUUCGAGCGUCAUUAUAACCCUCAAGCUCAGCUUGGUGUUGGGGCCUGCUGCACUGGCAGCCCUUAAAAUCAGUGGCGGCGCCAUCUGGCUCUAAGCGUAGUAAUUCUUCUCGCUACGGAGUCCUGGUGGAUGCUUGCCAUCAACCCCCAAUUUUUCUAUGGUUGACCUCGGAUCAGGUAGGGAUACCCGCUGAACUUAAGCAUAUCAAUAAGCGGAGGA
RNAcentral lists this unclassified non-coding RNA (328 nucleotides) under soil metagenome. Its description in RNAcentral is "partial contains 5.8S ribosomal RNA, internal transcribed spacer 2, and large subunit ribosomal RNA". The stretch from base 1 to 120 matches the Rfam family "5.8S ribosomal RNA", at positions 35 to 154 of the family's 154-position model. The record is from RNAcentral.